RNAcentral lists this ribosomal RNA (274 nucleotides) under uncultured bacterium. Its description in RNAcentral is "partial 16S ribosomal RNA". It matches the Rfam family "Bacterial small subunit ribosomal RNA", at positions 523 to 796 of the family's 1533-position model. The record is from RNAcentral.
AUACAGAGGGUGCAAACGUUGCUCGGAAUAACUGGGCGUAAAGCGCGUGUAGGCGGUUUCUUAAGUCGACUGUGAAAGCCCACGGCUCAACCGUGGAAGUGCAGUCGAAACUGGGAAACUGGAGUCCUGGAGAGGGUGGCGGAAUUCCCAGUGUAGAGGUGAAAUUCGUAGAUAUUGGGAAGAACACCGGUGGCGAAGGCGGCCACCUGGACCGGUACUGACGCUGAGGCGCGAAAGCGUGGGGAGCAAACAGGAUUAGAUACCCCGGUAGUCC